CAAUAGCGUAUAUUUAGGUUGUUGCAGUUAAAAAGCUCGUAGUUGGAUUUCGGAUGGGAUUUGCCGGUCCGUCGUUACGAUGUGCACUGGCCAGUCCUAUCUUGUUGUCGGGGACUAGCUCCUUGGAUUCACUUCCUGGGACUAGGAGCUGACGAGGUUACUUUGAGUAAAUUAGAGUGUUCAAAGCAAGCCUACGCUCUGAAUACAUUAGCAUGGAAUAACACGAUAGGACUCUGGCUUAUCUUGUUGGUCUGUGAGACCAGAGUAAUGAUUAAGAGGGACAGUCGGGGACAUUCGUAUUUCAUUGUCAGAGGUGAAAUUCUUGGAUUUAUGAAAGACGAACUUCUGCGAAAGCAUUUGUCAAGGAUGUUUUCAUUAA
This 379-nucleotide ribosomal RNA is filed under the name uncultured eukaryote. RNAcentral describes it as "partial 18S ribosomal RNA". It matches the Rfam family "Eukaryotic small subunit ribosomal RNA", at positions 592 to 976 of the family's 1831-position model. The record is from RNAcentral.